GGGGCUGUCUGGAUUUGACAGCGUGGAUAGUGAAAUGUAAGCAUGCCGAGUGUUGUAGAUGUGACUCGUUAAUCUCUAUUUGCAAGCCUUCAAAUGGCGAAAACAACAAUUACGCUUUCGCUGCUUAGUUUAGAAUUAGGUAGUUAGCCAGUUCGAUUAGUGGUUUCUCAAUCUGCUAAUUAUGUGAACUGUCAUAAUAUUGAGAUAGUUAGAGUAAAGCUUCGGUACUUUGGCGAAAUUAAGGAGAUAAGGAAUAAAUCGGCCAGUCUUUGAGCCUGCUUAUUUUCGAAAAUUAAUCAUGGACUAAGCAUGAAGAAAGCAUUUUAAUAGCAUGUUUGGACGAGGGUUCGAAUCCCUCCAGCUCCACAA
RNAcentral lists this transfer-messenger RNA (369 nucleotides) under Bacteroidales. Its description in RNAcentral is "GWE2-29-8 sp001768555 Standard tmRNA". It matches the Rfam family "transfer-messenger RNA". Rfam says of the family: Bacterial tmRNA, also known as 10Sa RNA or SsrA, is named for its dual tRNA and mRNA-like properties. RNAcentral also lists the same sequence under 2 other names. The record is from RNAcentral. Lineage: Bacteria; Pseudomonadati; Bacteroidota; Bacteroidia.